This 405-nucleotide ribosomal RNA is filed under the name uncultured Rhodocyclaceae bacterium. RNAcentral describes it as "bacterial SSU rRNA". It matches the Rfam family "Bacterial small subunit ribosomal RNA", at positions 981 to 1382 of the family's 1533-position model. The record is from RNAcentral. Lineage: Bacteria; Pseudomonadati; Pseudomonadota; Betaproteobacteria; Rhodocyclales; Rhodocyclaceae.
UUGACAUGUCCGGAAUCCCGAAGAGAUUUGGGAGUGCUCGCAAAGGAGAACCGGAACACAGGUGCUGCAUGGCUGUCGUCAGCUCGUGUCGUGAGAUGUUGGGUUAAGUCCCGCAACGAGCGCAACCCUUGUCAUUAGUUGCCAUCAUUUGGUUGGGCACUCUAAAUGAGACUGGCCGGUGACAACCGGAGGAAGGUGGGGAUGACGUCAAGUCCUCAUGGCCCUUAUCGGUAGGGCUUCACACGUCAUACAAUGGUCGGUACAGAGGGUUGCCAACCCGCGAGGGGGAGCUAAUCCCACAAAGCCGAUCGUAGUCCGGAUCGCAGUCUGCAACUCGACUGCGUGAAGUCGGAAUCGCUAGUAAUCGUGGAUCAGCAUGUCACGGUGAAUACGUUCCCGGGUCUU